Molecule: transfer-messenger RNA, 345 nt
Filed under: Sphingomonas glacialis
Lineage: Bacteria; Pseudomonadati; Pseudomonadota; Alphaproteobacteria; Sphingomonadales; Sphingomonadaceae
Rfam family: Alphaproteobacteria transfer-messenger RNA
About the family: Bacterial tmRNA, also known as 10Sa RNA or SsrA, is named for its dual tRNA and mRNA-like properties. Its role is to liberate the mRNA from a stalled ribosome. To accomplish this part of the tmRNA is used as a reading frame that ends in a translation stop signal.
Source: RNAcentral
GCCCUUUUCAUAGCGCUGUAACAUGCCUAUAUCGUUCGUGCCGGGCUUGCCCGGCUAUGGUGAUAAAGUGCGGCGUAGAAUAGAUGCAGCGGACCCGGGGGCAGUACCCGGCGACUCCACCACACCCCCUCUCUCCAGAGGGGUUAUGACGGGGUCGAACUAGGAUCGACGUGUAUUGAAAGGCGCUGUUUUUGCCCAGGCUGAGUAACCUGUUCAAGGCUCAUAACCACAAGUGCAAACGAUAACCAUGCACUCGCGAUUGCUGCGUAACACUAAGGCCUAACGGUCUAAGUUACUAAGUUAAAAGCGCGGUCCGAGCCGCACCGGGCAACAGAAGCGGACACC